RNAcentral lists this ribosomal RNA (253 nucleotides) under uncultured bacterium. RNAcentral describes it as "partial 16S ribosomal RNA". It matches the Rfam family "Bacterial small subunit ribosomal RNA", at positions 524 to 776 of the family's 1533-position model. The record is from RNAcentral.
UACGAAGGGGGCUAGCGUUGCUCGGAAUCACUGGGCGUAAAGCGCUCGUAGGCGGUUCUUUAAGUCAGGGGUGAAAUCCCAAGGCUCAACCUUGGAACUGCCUUUGAUACUGGGGAUCUCGAGUCCGGAAGAGGUGAGUGGAACUGCGAGUGUAGAGGUGAAAUUCGUAGAUAUUCGCAAGAACACCAGUGGCGAAGGCGGCUCACUGGUCCGGCACUGACGCUGAGGUGCGAAAGCGUGGGGAGCAAACAGG